Cynocephalus volans (Philippine flying lemur) is the source of this 104-nucleotide small nuclear RNA. NCBI's taxonomy places the organism in Eukaryota, Metazoa, Chordata, Mammalia, Dermoptera, Cynocephalidae. The record is from RefSeq and is a predicted model, not a curated record.
GUGCUCACUUCAGCAGCACAUAUACUAAAACUGGAAAAAUACAGAGAUUAGCGUGGGCCCUGCACGAGGGUGACUCACAAAUUUGUGAAGUGUUCCAUUAAAAA